Molecule: ribosomal RNA, 447 nt
Filed under: uncultured bacterium
Lineage: Bacteria
Description: bacterial SSU rRNA
Rfam family: Bacterial small subunit ribosomal RNA
Source: RNAcentral
GUCCAGACUCCUACGGGAGGCAGCAGUGGGGAAUAUUGGGCAAUGGGCGCAAGCCUGACCCAGCAACGCCGCGUGAAGGAUGAAGGUUUUCGGAUUGUAGACUUCUGUCGCGAGGGACGAAGAAUGACGGUACCUCGUAAGAAAGCCCCGACUAACUACGUGCCAGCAGCCGCGGUAAUACGUAGGGGGCAAGCGUUAUCCGGAUUUACUGGGUGUAAAGGGAGCGUAGACGGCAGCGCAAGUCUGAAGUGAAAUCCCAUGGCUUAACCAUGGAACUGCUUUGGAAACUGUGCAGCUGGAGUGCAGGAGAGGUAAGCGGAAUUCCUAGUGUAGCGGUGAAAUGCGUAGAUAUUAGGAGGAACACCAGUGGCGAAGGCGGCUUACUGGACUGUAACUGACGUUGAGGCUCGAAAGCGUGGGGAGCAAACAGGAUUAGAUACCCGUGUA